RNAcentral lists this ribosomal RNA (591 nucleotides) under Tragelaphus strepsiceros (greater kudu). Its description in RNAcentral is "partial 12S ribosomal RNA". It matches the Rfam family "Bacterial small subunit ribosomal RNA", at positions 212 to 1026 of the family's 1533-position model. Lineage: Eukaryota; Metazoa; Chordata; Mammalia; Artiodactyla; Bovidae. The record is from RNAcentral.
AACUUACACAUGCAAGCAUCCACAUCCCAGUGAGAAUGCCCUCCAGGUCAAUAAGACUAAGAGGAGCUGGUAUCAAGCACACACUCGUAGCUCACGACACCUUGCUUAACCACACCCCCACGGGAUACAGCAGUGAUAAAAAUUAAGCCAUAAACGAAAGUUUGACUAAGUUAUGUUAAUUAGGGUUGGUAAAUUUCGUGCCAGCCACCGCGGCCAUACGAUUAACCCAAGCUAACAGGAAUACGGCGUAAAACGUGUUUAAGCGCCACACCAAAUAGAGUUAAAUUUUAAUUAAGCUGUAAAAAGCCGUAAUUACUGUAAAAAUAAAUAACGAAAGUGACUCUACAACAGCUGACACACCAUAGCUAAGACCCAAACUGGGAUUAGAUACCCCACUAUGCUUAGCCCUAAACACAGAUAAUUAUAUAAACAAAAUUAUUCGCCAGAGUACUACUAGCAAUAGCUUAAAACUCAAAGGACUUGGCGGUGCUUCAUAUCCCUCUAGAGGAGCCUGUUCUAUAAUCGAUAAACCCCGAUAAACCUCACCAAUUCUUGCUAAUACAGUCUAUAUACCGCCAUCUUCAGCAAACC